AUACGGAGGGUGCAAGCGUUAAUCGGAAUUACUGGGCGUAAAGCGCGCGUAGGCGGUUAGAUAAGUCGGAUGUGAAAGCCCCGGGCUCAACCUGGGAACUGCAUUCGAUACUGUUAAGCUAGAGUAUGGUAGAGGGAAGUGGAAUUCCAGGUGUAGCGGUGAAAUGCGUAGAUAUCUGGAGGAACAUCAGUGGCGAAGGCGACUUCCUGGACCAAUACUGACGCUGAGGUGCGAAAGCGUGGGGAGCAAACAGGAUUAGAAACCCUAGUAGUCC
Molecule: ribosomal RNA, 274 nt
Filed under: uncultured bacterium
Lineage: Bacteria
Description: partial 16S ribosomal RNA
Rfam family: Bacterial small subunit ribosomal RNA
Source: RNAcentral